CCUACGGGUGGCAGCAGUGAGGAAUAUUGGUCAAUGGACGAGAGUCUGAACCAGCCAAGUAGCGUGAAGGAUGACUGCCCUAUGGGUUGUAAACUUCUUUUAUAUGGGAAUAAAAUGUUCCACGUGUGGGAUUUUGUAUGUACCAUAUGAAUAAGGAUCGGCUAACUCCGUGCCAGCAGCCGCGGUAAUACGGAGGAUCCGAGCGUUAUCCGGAUUUAUUGGGUUUAAAGGAAGCGUAGGUGGAUUGUUAAGUCAGUUGUGAAAGUUUGCGGCUCAACCGUAGAAUUGCAGUUGAAACUGGCAGUCUUGAGUACAGUAGAGGUGGGCGGAAUUCGUGGUGUAGCGGUGAAAUGCGUAGAUAUCACGAAGAACUCCGGUUGCGAAGGCAGUUCACUGGACUGCAACUGACGCUGAGGCUCGAAAGUGUGGGUAUCAAACAGGAUUAGAUACCCGGGUAGUC
RNAcentral lists this ribosomal RNA (460 nucleotides) under uncultured bacterium. RNAcentral's name for it is "partial 16S ribosomal RNA". It matches the Rfam family "Bacterial small subunit ribosomal RNA", at positions 338 to 795 of the family's 1533-position model. The record is from RNAcentral.